Molecule: transfer RNA, 66 nt
Filed under: Fusarium acuminatum CS5907
Lineage: Eukaryota; Fungi; Ascomycota; Sordariomycetes; Hypocreales; Nectriaceae
Description: tRNA-Val
Source: RNAcentral
UCCUGCUUCAUAACCUAGAUGAUGAUGAUCUGUUAAAUGAUAUGAAUAUAUUCUUCAUAAAGCCAC